Molecule: unclassified non-coding RNA, 291 nt
Organism: Loxodonta africana (African savanna elephant)
Lineage: Eukaryota; Metazoa; Chordata; Mammalia; Proboscidea; Elephantidae
Gene: 7SK
Rfam family: 7SK RNA
About the family: 7SK was discovered as an abundant small nuclear RNA in the mid-70s but a possible function has only recently been suggested.
Source: Ensembl
GAAUGAGAAGGCCAAACUGACUGUGACUUGUCACCCCACAAAUGCUCAGGUUCAUUCAGCUGAUCUGGCUGGCUGGCUGGGUGGUAGCCCCACCACUCACGACCACAGGUAGACCCCCAAAGUCAUACGUUUAUUGGAACACGAUGAUCUUUCCAGCAGGCAGAGAAUGACCAUUCUUUUGUCAAGGAUAUACCAGUAGCUGCCUAAAAUUUUUCAUUUCACUCAGGAAAUUACAGAAAUGAAUUUAAGCCCUUAUGUCAUAUCAUAUAUAAAAAUUAACUCAAAAAAUUU